CCUACGGGGGGCAGCAGUGAGGAAUAUUGGUCAAUGGCCGGAAGGCUGAACCAGCCAUGCCGCGUGUAGGUCAGUGCCCUAUGGGCGUUAAACUUCUUUUGUGCGGGAGCAAUAAUGGUCACGUGUGGCCAGACGAGAGUACCGUACGAAUAAGCAUCGGCUAACUCCGUGCCAGCAGCCGCGGUAAUACGGGGGGUGCAAGCGUUAGCCGGAUUAAUUGGGUUUAAAGGGUGCGUAGGCUGUGAGGUAAGGCAGCGGUGAAAUGCCCCCGCUCAACGGGGUGAAGUGCCAUUGAUACUGGCAGGCUGGAAUGCGGAUGCCGUGGGAGGAAUGUGUGGUGUAGCGGUGAAAUGCAUAGAUAUCACAAAGAACACCGAUUGCGAAGGCAUCUCACGAAUCUGAGAUUGACGCUGAUGUACGAAAGCGUGGGUAUCAAACAGGAUUAGAUACCCUUGUAGUC
This 460-nucleotide ribosomal RNA is filed under the name uncultured bacterium. RNAcentral's name for it is "partial 16S ribosomal RNA". It matches the Rfam family "Bacterial small subunit ribosomal RNA", at positions 338 to 795 of the family's 1533-position model. The record is from RNAcentral.